CGGCGCGUCUUAAGCAUGCAAGUCGAGCGGCAGGCAGCAAUGCCGAGAGCGGCGGACUGGUGAGUAACACGUGGAUAACGUACCCCGAUGUCCGGGACAGCCUGUAGAAAUAGAGGGUAAUACCGGAUAGAUCACUGUUUACGUGAGGUAGACAGCGGGAAAGGAGCUUCGGCUCCGCGCCGGGAUCGGUCUGCGGCCCAUCAGCUAGACGGCGGGGUAAAGGCCCGCCGUGGCGAGGACGGGUAUCCGGCCUGAGAGGGCGGACGGACACAUUGGGACUGAGAUACGGCCCAGACUCCUACGGGAGGCAGCAGGUAAGAAUAUUCCGCAAUGGGGGGAACCCUGACGGAGCGACGCCGCGUGAACGAAGAAGGCCGGAAGGUUGUAAAGUUCUUUUCUGUCCGAGGAAUAAGUGUAGGAGGAAAUGCCUGCAUGGUGACGGUAGGGCAGGAAUAAGCACCGGCU
RNAcentral lists this ribosomal RNA (465 nucleotides) under Treponema socranskii. RNAcentral describes it as "bacterial SSU rRNA". It matches the Rfam family "Bacterial small subunit ribosomal RNA", at positions 40 to 498 of the family's 1533-position model. Lineage: Bacteria; Pseudomonadati; Spirochaetota; Spirochaetia; Treponematales; Treponemataceae. The record is from RNAcentral.